GAGUGAACGCUGGCGGUAGGCCUAACACAUGCAAGUCGAACGGCAGCACAGUAAGAGCUUGCUCUUACGGGUGGCGAGUGGCGGACGGGUGAGGAAUACAUCGGAAUCUACUUUUUCGUGGGGGAUAACGGAGGGAAACUUACGCUAAUACCGCAUACGACCUACGGGUGAAAGCAGGGGAUCUUCGGACCUUGCGCGAUUGAAUGAGCCGAUGUCGGAUUAGCUAGUUGGCGGGGUAAAGGCCCACCAAGGCGACGAUCCGUAGCUGGUCUGAGAGGAUGAUCAGCCACACUGGAACUGAGACACGGUCCAGACUCCUACGGGAGGCAGCAGUGGGGAAUAUUGGACAAUGGGCGCAAGCCUGAUCCAGCCAUACCGCGUGGGUGAAGAAGGCCUUCGGGUUGUAAAGCCCUUUUGUCGGGAAAGAAAAGCAGCAGGUUAAUACCCCGCUGUUCUGACGGUACCCAAAGAAUAAGCACCGGCUAACUUCGUG
RNAcentral lists this ribosomal RNA (493 nucleotides) under uncultured bacterium. RNAcentral describes it as "partial 16S ribosomal RNA". It matches the Rfam family "Bacterial small subunit ribosomal RNA", at positions 27 to 507 of the family's 1533-position model. The record is from RNAcentral.